GAUGAACGCGGGCGGCGUGCUUAACACAUGCAAGUCGAACGGAGACUUUUUCAGUGCAACCUUCGGGGAGCAAGAGAAAGUUUAGUGGCGGACGGGUGAGUAACGCGUGGGCAACCUGCCUCGCACCGUGGGAUAACAGGGGGAAGCUCCUGCUAAUACCGCAUAAAGUAUAUAGACGCAUGUCAAUAUACAAAAAGGGAUACCGGUGAGAGAUGGGCCCGCGUCCGAUUAGAUAGUUGGCAGGAUAGCAGCCUACCAAGUCAACGAUCGGUAGCCGGCUUGAGAGAGUGGACGGCCACACUGGGACUGAGACACGGCCCAGACUCCUACGGGAGGCAGCAGUGGGGAAUAUUGGACAAUGGGGGCAACCCUGAUCCAGCGACGCCGCGUGAGUGAAGAAGUAUCUCGGUACGUAAAGCUCUAUCAGCAGGGAAGAAAAAAGACGUACCUG
This 451-nucleotide ribosomal RNA is filed under the name Johnsonella ignava. RNAcentral describes it as "bacterial SSU rRNA". It matches the Rfam family "Bacterial small subunit ribosomal RNA", at positions 28 to 481 of the family's 1533-position model. Lineage: Bacteria; Bacillati; Bacillota; Clostridia; Lachnospirales; Lachnospiraceae. The record is from RNAcentral.